RNAcentral lists this unclassified non-coding RNA (286 nucleotides) under Hevea brasiliensis (rubber tree). Lineage: Eukaryota; Viridiplantae; Streptophyta; Magnoliopsida; Malpighiales; Euphorbiaceae. The record is from RNAcentral.
AAACGAUAUUUCUGCUAUUUUCUGUUCUUUGAUUUGCUCUACCUCAUCUGGGUUAUUUGAGUUGUUGCCAAUUAAGGCUCAAAAUUGAGCAUGAUUCAUGAUCAAAGUUCCUGUGGAGUACGUAACAGUUUGUCUUUUAUGGUUUUGCUAUUUGAUGGGAGUUGUUUUCAACUGCUGAAUAUUUCCACUGCUUAUUUGAGGUCACCUAGCUCUAGCCUCUGUGGAGUGUUUUUGAAAUUUAUUUGAGUCGAUGAAAUUUCCUUUUUUUUUGGUCAUUCACAUUUGA